This 490-nucleotide ribosomal RNA is filed under the name uncultured bacterium. RNAcentral describes it as "partial 16S ribosomal RNA". It matches the Rfam family "Bacterial small subunit ribosomal RNA", at positions 28 to 507 of the family's 1533-position model. The record is from RNAcentral.
GAUGAACGCUCGCGGCAGGCCUAAUACAUGCAAGUCGAACGGGAUCCAGAUCAAAGCUUGCUUUGGUCUGGUGAGAGUGGCGCACGGGUGCGUAACGCGUGAGCAACCUACCCUUGUCAGGGGGAUAGCCCGGCGAAAGUCGGAUUAAUACCGCAUGACAUCAUUGAGAGGCAUCUUUCGAUGAUCAAAGAUUUAUCGGACAAGGAUGGGCUCGCGUGACAUUAGCUAGUUGGUAAGGUAACGGCUUACCAAGGCUGCGAUGUCUAGGGGCUCUGAGAGGAGAAUCCCCCACACUGGUACUGAGACACGGACCAGACUCCUACGGGAGGCAGCAGUAAGGAAUAUUGGUCAAUGGACGGAAGUCUGAACCAGCCAUGCCGCGUGCAGGAGGACGGCCCUAUGGGUUGUAAACUGCUUUUAUACGGGAACAAACGUCGGUACGUGUACCGGUCUGAGUGUACCGUAAGAAUAAGGAUCGGCUAACUCCGUG